This 253-nucleotide ribosomal RNA is filed under the name uncultured bacterium. RNAcentral describes it as "partial 16S ribosomal RNA". It matches the Rfam family "Bacterial small subunit ribosomal RNA", at positions 524 to 776 of the family's 1533-position model. The record is from RNAcentral.
UACGUAGGGGGCAAGCGUUGUCCGGAUUUAUUGGGCGUAAAGGGCGCGUAGGCGGUUUCUUAAGUUUGGAGUGACAGUGGGUGGCUUAACUACCCAAGGCCUCUGAAAACUGGGGAACUUGAGGACCAGAGAGGGACAUAGAAUUCCGGGUGGAGUGGUGAAAUGCGUAGAUAUCCGGAGGAAUACCAAAGGCGAAGGCAGUGUCCUGGAGGGUAACUGACGCUGAGGCGCGAAAGCUAGGGGAGCGAACAGG